RNAcentral lists this ribosomal RNA (373 nucleotides) under uncultured eukaryote. RNAcentral describes it as "partial 18S ribosomal RNA". It matches the Rfam family "Eukaryotic small subunit ribosomal RNA", at positions 592 to 976 of the family's 1831-position model. The record is from RNAcentral.
CAAUAGCGUAUAUUAAAGUUGUUGCAGUUAAAAAGCUCGUAGUUGAAUUUGUGGCAGCUCCUGUGGUCCGUUCUUCGGUACUUUCGGGGGUCGCCAUCCUUGGGUGGAUCCUGUGUGGCAUUAGGUUGUCGUGCAGGGGAUGCCCAUCAUUUACUGUGAAAAAAUUAGAGUGUUCAAAGCAGGCUUACGCCGUUGAAUAUAUUAGCAUGGGAUAAUAAGAUAGGAUCUUGGUACUAUUUUGUUGGUUUGUGCACCGAGAUAAUGAUUAAUAGGGACAGUUGUGGGUAUUCGUAUUCCAUUGUCAGAGGUGAAAUUCUUGGAUUUCUGGAAGACGAACGAAUGCGAAAGCAUUUACCAAGGAUGUUUUCAUUAA